Triticum aestivum (bread wheat) is the source of this 1517-nucleotide long non-coding RNA. RefSeq lists it as uncharacterized. The record is from RefSeq and is a predicted model, not a curated record. The transcript is spliced from 4 exons. NCBI's taxonomy places the organism in Eukaryota, Viridiplantae, Streptophyta, Magnoliopsida, Poales, Poaceae.
CUUUGUUCUGUUGACCAAUAAGUUAUGUAUAAUGUGUAUAUGCUGAUAUGCAUGGCAUCACUGAAAUGUGUGUAUUCCUGUUGGUGAAGUUUGGAAUCAGCAUUGUGUUUUCUUUCGAAGUGAUGAAUUUGGCAUAUCCUUCUAUCAUAUUGUGUUUUCUGAUUUUCAUCAGUAUUCUUUAAGUAUAUAACUGAACUGAAGGACUUUGUUUACCAUGCACCUACUAAGUGUGCUAUGCAAAAUAUGUCCAAGUUACUGUGCACAUGCAGUAAUUAUGAUCCUGAUAAUUUCUUUUUAUCUAGGGGUGCCUCCACCCACAUUUAUAUGCUUUUACGGACAGUAGAGAAUAGGGUUGUAUUACUAUGCAGAGAUCAUUGAGCAGAAUCGAGCUGCUGCUCAGAACUAAGUGUCGCCUCUGUUUGGUUUAGCCGAGGAUGAUCUGGACAAUUCAGUAGAAGCCGAGAACCUGGGAUUUUGAUGAAGAUACAGGCGAUGUAACCUGGGAUUUCUGUAGUGUUAUUCAAGAAGCCGAGAACCUUGACCACCUAUCUAUGAUGGCAAUUGAUGUGGUCUAGAACUUAGACAUCUAUCCAUAUGAUGUAGAGUCAGACUGCUCUAAGUAUGAUGAAUUCCCUACCUACUGCCCAUCUAAUUCUACCAAAGAUGACUAUGGUGCGAGCCGCUUCGAUGACGAAGACUGCUCUACGACGAAAAUGCUUGAUGAAUCAGUCACAAGAAGAAAAUGAGGCGCUUUUGGUUUAUCACCAGGCUCUCUGAGUUGGUGCAAAUAUGCAUCUGUUCUGCCCCUAUCCCGUUGUAGGAUUUACUAAUGGAUGUUAGACCAACAUUCUCCCCUCAAUUGUUUUUAUGACUGAUCCUUUCUGGUGUCAUCUGAUGAUUUCUUACUCUCCUCUUGGAACAGAUAAAUGUAAUCAAUUGCAAAGCUAGAAAGUAUUCAUUAAGCACUGAAAACUUAUACCUUUUGUUUCAGAGAAUAAUUGAGUAUGAAGCAACCAAGGUGAUGCUGGCCCUAAGCAUCAAUCCGUGUGUUCCGACUCUAUGAGUUUACAUACGGCUACAUGCAAGCCAAGAUGAGUGCUCUACGCUUACGGCUCAUGCUAACUGAACUGGUGAUGUUUCUUUCUUCACCUUGAUUGACGCCACAUGUUCCCCCUGGUUGCCACGUCGUCCUCGUCUUCGGCUUGCAAGGGACUGGAUCUGGUGUGAUUGAUUCUUCCUCUCGCAAGGUUAUGAUGGCCGACAAACAGCUCCAAGUUCACGGGUCGCCAGGCUCGCCGAGUGACGCUGGCUCCAACGGUGGUCUGUGAGCACUUGCCCAGGUCAAUUGAUAUUUGUGGUGGCCCUUCUCUGUUUUUACUUGGAAAAAUUUAGUCCGUAUGUGCCUCAGUGAAUUUUAAAAUCAAAGGAAAUGCUCUGUGCAGAAAAAUACAUAUCUAAUCUAGGGGGUAUAUGUAAUAGCGGUAGAUAAAUAAUAAUGUUUAGAUUCAGGCAGUAUA